This 418-nucleotide ribosomal RNA is filed under the name bacterium enrichment culture clone ALO1_GLFRUDD03GLANU. RNAcentral's name for it is "bacterial SSU rRNA". It matches the Rfam family "Bacterial small subunit ribosomal RNA", at positions 9 to 430 of the family's 1533-position model. The record is from RNAcentral.
GAGUUUGAUCGUGGCUCAGAUUGAACGCUGGCGGCAUGCCUUACACAUGCAAGUCGAACGGCAGCACGGGAGCUUGCUCCUGGUGGCGAGUGGCGAACGGGUGAGUAAUGCAUCGGAACGUAUCCUGGAGUGGGGGAUAACGUAGCGAAAGUUACGCUAAUACCGCAUAUUCUGUGAGCAGGAAAGCGGGGGACCUUCGGGCCUCGCGCUCUUGGAGCGGCCGAUGUCGGAUUAGCUAGUUGGUGAGGUAAAGGCUCACCAAGGCGACGAUCCGUAGCAGGUCUGAGAGGAUGAUCUGCCACACUGGAACUGAGACACGGUCCAGACUCCUACGGGAGGCAGCAGUGGGAAUUUUGGACAAUGGGGGCAACCCUGAUCCAGCCAUGCCGCGUGAGUGAAGAAGGCCUCGGUUGUAAGA